This 115-nucleotide transfer RNA is filed under the name Nodosilinea sp. LEGE 07298. RNAcentral's name for it is "tRNA-Ser". The record is from RNAcentral. Lineage: Bacteria; Bacillati; Cyanobacteriota; Cyanophyceae; Nodosilineales; Nodosilineaceae.
AUCGGGGUAAGCUUGGGGUAACGCUAAAUUCAUAGCCCUGAAACCCUUGCCAUACAAGGAGUGAUUCACAGCUUCCCAAGCUGAGUGCCGACGGUUCGAGUCCGUUCACCCGCUU